UGCAGGAUUGCGACCUGUAGAGAACGUAGCUGCUGUUUGCAUUGACCUCUCUCUCUCUCUCUCUCUCUGCCUGUCUACACUAAGCUGUGAUUCUAGGAUCACUGUGGUGUGGCAUGAGAAAAUACUACUCAGCAGCUUAGACUGUCAAUGUUUCAUCUCCAGGGUACUGUACCCAGGUUACCCCCCGAUGGAAAAAUGAUGUAGCUUAUUCCCUGAAAGGCCUAUUCUAUUCUGUUUUGCUCUGUCUGGACCGGAAACGUUAGGACCCGGAUACAGCUCGUAAAUUCAGGCUGGGCUGGGAGUUUGUGUACACCAAGGUGCCUGUUAAAAGGUUGCUAUUAAUGGGGUUUGUCUGAAACACCAAUAUAAAAGGGAAGAUAUUUACCCGAUUCUUCUGGCUUUAACGGACACCUUUCGUAGAAACGAGCCAAUUGUGUCCAUUCCAGUGCCUCACUUCAGCGAGCAUUAUAAACCCAGUCAAUUUUCACCGUCCAAAUGGCAUCGAUUCAACAAGUCGUAUUAAACUCUCGGCCAGGGAAGAAUGGAGAGCCAGUUGCUGAGAAUUUUAAGGUGGAAGAGAGUUACCUGCCUCAGGAUUUGCAAGAGGGGCAAGUGAAGGUUUGCACCAAAUUCCUGUCUGUGGAUCCUUACAUGCGAUGCAGGAUGAAUGAAGACACUGGUGCAGAUUACCUGCUUCCGUGGCAAGUGUCGAGUGUGGUGACUGGUGGAGGAGUGGGUCUGGUUGAAGACAGUAAACACCAGAACUUUCGCAAAUGUGACGUUGUGACUUCGUUCAGCUGGCCCUGGCAGACACGAGCCGUUGUGGAUGGGGCUGUCCUGACUAAGAUUGACCCUGAGCUCAUUGACGGGCACCUCUCCUACAUGCUGGGUGCUGUGGGAAUGCCUGGCCUCACCGCUUUGCUGGGGGUGAGAGAGAAAGGUCACGUGACACCCGGAGCCAAUCAAACGAUGGUUGUCAGCGGUGCAGCAGGAGCCUGUGGGAUGUUGGCGGGUCAGAUUGGUCGGCUCGAAGGGUGCUCCCGAGUUGUUGGGAUCUGCGGCUCUGAUGAGAAAUGUCAGAUCUUGGUCAGCGAGAUUGGUUUUGACGCAGCCAUCAACUACAAGAAGGAUAACGUGGCGGAGAAGCUCCGGGAAUACUGUCCAGCCGGAGUGGACGCUUACUUUGAUAAUGUUGGUGGGGAUAUCAGCAACACCGUUAUAAAUCAGAUGAAUCCGAACAGUCACAUCAUUCUUUGUGGACAGAUCUCCCAGUACAAUAAAGAUGUGCCUUACCCCCCUCCGCUGCCACCUCCCAUAGAUGUGAUCCUAAAGGAGAGGAAUAUCAAAAGAGAGAGAUUCCUGGUGCUGAAUUAUACAGAGAAGUUUGAGGUGGGCACGAUGCAGUUGAGUCGGUGGCUGAAGGAGGGUAAACUGAAGGUUCGUGAGACAGUGGUGAAAGGACUGGAAAACAUUGGAGCUGCCUUUGAGUCCAUGAUGAAAGGAGGAAACAUCGGGAAACAGAUUGUCCUGGUCUCUGAUGGGUAAUGAAAGUGUGCAGUCACCCUGAGGGAUCCAGCACCUGACAUGUUGAAGGACACCAACAACUUUUGUUGCAAUUGUGGUUGGCAAUGCCACGUUGGCCUGAUUUCUAAUGAAAUAAAGAAUGAGGGGUGUUCCUGGCUAGACAGCAUUUAUUGCCCAUUUCUAAUUGCUAGAGGGCAAUUAAGAGUCAACCACAUUGCUGUGGGCCUAAUCAGUUUGUUCAACAGGAUCCUCAGACAAACAGACUCAUGGCAGGACGCAACAGUGAGAAAGAGGUACAUAUGUUACCUCUGCUCGGACUUCAAUGUAGUGUAUUCCUUCUGUGUAAUCCUCGGGUUUCCAGGCUAUCGAGAAGAAUGGGCCUUCAAUGUGAACCGCACUGCCUAUACUGAUACCAUCGAUACUGAUCUGGACUGAGGUGACUUGUGACGGAGAGAAGACUAAAACCCUAAUGAGGAAACAUAAAUCACAUUAUUAAUCGCACAUGACCUACAAACUUAAUUAAAUCACCUGAGGAGAUGACUGUAUUUUACACUAACUAAUCGAAUUUUCAAGAAUCCACUUAAAAGUUCAAAACCGGUGAUAAGGAUGCGGACGUAGCCAAAAAAAAGGUUCCACCGCCGGAUUGGUAAGAAAGACAACUGGCGAUGGUUUAACCUGAAGGUCAUCACACCUUAGGUAAGGGGAGAGGUUGAGAAGAAGAAUCUUUCAUGGUAACCUCAGUUGGUGCAGGAAUCGAAUCUGUGCUGUGUGUUGUUGGCGUCCCUGUGUCUCACAAAUCAAUCAUCCUGCCAACUGAGCUAACUGACUCCCUUAUUUGAAAAGGAACAUGGAACAUGAGUCACUGGACUGAUGCAAGAGAAUAAAUCAGUGUUGUGA
This is an RNA transcript of Hemiscyllium ocellatum (epaulette shark), 2421 nucleotides long. It is a transcript of the gene named prostaglandin reductase 2, with no coding region annotated. The record is from RefSeq and is a predicted model, not a curated record. NCBI's taxonomy places the organism in Eukaryota, Metazoa, Chordata, Chondrichthyes, Orectolobiformes, Hemiscylliidae. The transcript has 14 exons.